This 399-nucleotide ribosomal RNA is filed under the name uncultured bacterium. Its description in RNAcentral is "bacterial SSU rRNA". It matches the Rfam family "Bacterial small subunit ribosomal RNA", at positions 356 to 773 of the family's 1533-position model. The record is from RNAcentral.
GGGGAAUUUUGCGCAAUGGGGGAAACCCUGACGCAGCAACGCCGCGUGCGGGAUGACGGCCUUCGGGUUGUAAACCGCUUUCAGCAGGGAAGAUUAUGACGGUACCUGCAGAAGAAGCCCCGGCUAACUACGUGCCAGCAGCCGCGGUAAUACGUAGGGGGCAAGCGUUAUCCGGAUUCAUUGGGCGUAAAGAGCGCGUAGGCGGACGUUUAAGCAGAAUCUCUAAUCUGAGGGCUCAACCCCCAGCCGGAUUCUGAACUGGAUGUCUCGAGUUUGGUAGAGGAAGAUGGAAUUCCCGGUGUAGCGGUGGAAUGCGCAGAUAUCGGGAAGAACACCGAUGGCGAAGGCAGUCUUCUGGGCCAUAACUGACGCUGAGGCGCGAAAGCUAGGGGAGCGAAC